Molecule: ribosomal RNA, 497 nt
Filed under: uncultured bacterium
Lineage: Bacteria
Description: partial 16S ribosomal RNA
Rfam family: Bacterial small subunit ribosomal RNA
Source: RNAcentral
GAUGAACGCUGGCGGCGUGCCUAAUACAUGCAAGUCGAGCGAACAGAUGAGGAGCUUGCUCCUCUGACGUUAGCGGCGGACGGGUGAGUAACACGUGGAUAACCUACCUAUAAGACUGGGAUAACUUCGGGAAACCGGAGCUAAUACCGGAUAAUAUAUUGAACCGCAUGGUUCAAUAGUGAAAGACGGUUUUGCUGUCACUUAUAGAUGGAUCCGCGCCGCAUUAGCUAGUUGGUAAGGUAACGGCUUACCAAGGCGACGAUGCGUAGCCGACCUGAGAGGGUGAUCGGCCACACUGGAACUGAGACACGGUCCAGACUCCUACGGGAGGCAGCAGUAGGGAAUCUUCCGCAAUGGGCGAAAGCUUGACGGAGCAACGCCGCGUGAGUGAUGAAGGUCUUCGGAUCGUGAAACUCUGUUAUUAGGGAAGAACAAAUGUGUAAGUAACUAUGCACGUCUUGACGGUACCUAAUCAGAAAGCCACGGCUAACUACGUG